GAAGCAGAGGGAGGAGUUGUUGCUGCCGCCGCCGCAGCCGCAGCUACUGUGACUUCUCCGAUUGUGUGAGCUUUGUUGGAGCCUGCGUACGUGGAUUUAUCGCUGCCACGGUCUGCGUAGCUCCAGAGGUUUAACCAUAGGAUAGAGAAACCAGACCCUUCUUCAGCAUCUUCCCUGGGCAUUGCUGUGAGUUUAGGCCGGCCCGUUUUGAGCAGGAGCAGCAGCGGAACAGUAGACCUGCUGGAGGAAGUGGGGCUGCAGAUCAGAGACACAGCAUUUUCGUCAACCAAACUUCUUGAAGCCAUAUCUACAGUAUCAGCUCAAGUGGAAGAGCUUGCCGUCAAAUGUACGGAAAAUGCACGUUUCCUUAAAACAUGACGGGACCUCUUGAAAGAAUGCUGUGAUUCUUGGAAACCUGACAAUUGAUUUGGCAUACUUAGCUCUUUGAUAGUGACUGUGUAAUAAUUCAUACUUCCUCAUAUAUGAUCAUUUCACAUGUGCCACAUAUAUAGGAUAAUAUCUAGCAGUUCUCUAUAUCUUCAGAAUGAAGUUUUUCUUGGUUUUCUUGACCUUUGUAAAAGCAGAAUACUGAUUCUAUUUUUGAUGUUGAUCAGUACUUGUUUAUUCUUACACUUUCUGCCCUUCAAACUUUCAUAAAAUCCUUUACAAAAUUUAAUUUUAUCAGUAGAUAGUUAAUAUUAAUUGUGCCACAGUGCUACCAGUAGCAAACUAAGUGGACCAUUAUUUGUUUUGCAGUAAGAUGCCAAGCAUGGCAGAAUUAGAAGUUGAGCUUCAUCUUAUGGACCAAGGGAGAUAACUUUAAGGUUCCAGCUCCAUUAGGCUGAGUUCUCUAGGCAAAUGAUUGUCUUACUUACUUCGAUAUCCCCAGCACCUAAAACAGUGUCACAUAGCAUUCACUAAAUGUUUAUUGAAAAGAAGAGUUGAUUAACAUAAUACAAAGCUAUUUUUUCUUCCUGUAUUUAGCAGGAAGACUAUAAUUGUUUCUCUAAAAAUGUAUGAAUCAGGACUUUGUUGACUUGAAGGAAAAUGUUAUCUUUUUCACAGAGAUUUUAACUUUGAUGAUAGCUUUUAAAAACAUGAUAAAUACUUUUGUCCUCAAAUGAUUAUUUUAAAAAGUCUUUUUUUUUUGAGACAGAGUCUCAUUCUGUCUCCCAGGCUGGAGUGCAGUGGUGCGAUCUUGGCUCACUGCAAUCUCUGCCUCCUGGGUUCAAGUGAUUCUCCUGCCUCAGCCUCCCUAGUAGCUGGGAUUACAGGCGUGUGCCACCAUACCCGGCUAAUUUUUUGUAUUUUUAGUAGAGACAAGGUUUCACCAUAUUGACCAGGCUGGUCUCGAACUCCUGACCUCAAGUGAUCCACCCGCCUCGGCCUCCCAAAGUGCUGGGAUUACAGGCGUGAGCCACUGCACCCAGCUAAGAAGUCUUUAUUUCAGAAAAUGAAAGACUGUCUAGAAAGAACGAAUUUUUUUUCCUAUUUAUUUCUAUGGUUACUGCUUUUACACUUAAUAUUUUUUGUUUUCGGUAUUUUUAUAUGUUUGAUUGCUGUCUUUAAAGUGCCUUAUCAGAUUUAUGGCUCUGUACUAUGAAUUUUGGAGCUUUACAAGUUAUUUACAUAACUCUAAGUUACUUUGCUUCCAAUACAUCAAAUUUAAAUAACAUGAUUGUUUUUAUAUUAUUUGACCUUAGUGACAAUGUCCUAUUUUAUUUGUUCUGUAUCUUAUGUCGCUUUUUGGUAGUUUGUAUUAUGUGUGAAUGAUUAAGCCAACUAAUUCUGUACCAUAUAUAACUUCUGGAUAUCUUUGAUAUGACAUCUUAAUUCUUUGUAGAUAUGGUGAUGUGUACAGAAUGAUAUUCUGAAGCUCCACAAUGGUGCAUUGAAAGGCUGCAGAUGGAUGGCCAAAGAAUAGUUUUGUUUAGCAUAUUAGGUCUAGUUCUGGACUUUUUUUUUUAUACUUUAAGUUCUGGGGUACAUGUGCAGAACAUGCAGUUUUGUUACAUAGGUAUACACGUGCCAUGGUGGUUUGCUGCACCCAUCAACCCAUCACCUACAUUAGGUAUUUCUCCUAAUGUUAUCCCUCGCCUAAUCCCCACCCCCCGACAGGCCCCAGUGUGUGAUGCUUCCCUCCUUAUGUCUGUGUGUUCUCAUUGUUCAAAUCCCACUUACGAGUGAGAACAUGCAGUGUUUGGUUUUCUGUUCAUGUGAUAGUUUGCUGAGAAUUAUUGUUUCCAGCUUCAUCCAUGUCCCUGCAAAGGACAUGAACUCAUCCUUUUUUAUGGCUGCGGAGUAUUCCAUGGUGUAUAUGUGCCACAUUUUCUUUAUCCAGUCUGUUAUUGAUGGACAUUUAGGUUGGUUCCAAGUCUUUGCUAUUGUGAAUAGUGCCUCAAUAAACAUACAUGUGCAUGUGUCUUUAUAGUAGAAUGAUUUAUAAUCCUUCGGGUAUAUAUCCUGUAAUGGGAUUACUGGGUCAAAUGGUAUUUCUAGUUCUAGAUCCUUGAGGAAUCAUCACACUGUCUUCCACAAUGGUUGAACUAAUUUACACUCCCGCCAACAAUGUAAAAGCACUGGACUUUUUUUUUUUUAAGUUAAAAGAUCACACACAGGGUGUGAUUUCUAUACCAAAGAUAUGCUUAUUUCAGUAUGAGGAAAAAUAUUUUUCUUACAUGUCCUGAAAAUUGCAAUUUUAAAAAUGUACAAAAUAAAUUUUUAUUAAAAGCAAAUUUUAUUUCAAAAAAAAAGAGUGAAAGACAACCAACUGGAUAGGAGAAAGUAUUUGAAAGUCAUAUAUCUGAUAAGGGAUUAAUAUCCAAGAAUAUAAAGAACUCUUACAACUCAACAACAACAACAAAAUAACCUUAUUAAAAAUUGGGUAGAGUGCUUGAAUAGACAUUUCUUCGAAGAUAUACAAAUACCCAAUAAGCACAUGAAAAGAUGCUUGACAUCAUCAGUAAUCAGAGAAAUGUGAAUCAAAACCACAAUGAGAUACCACUUCACACCUGCUAGGAUGGGUAGAAUAAAAAAGAUAAUAGGUAUCGGAGGUGGAACAAUUGGGGCCCUUAUAUACUGCUCAUGGGAGUAUAAAUGGUACAGUCACUUUGGAAAACAGUCUGGCAGAUCCUCAAACAAUUAAACAUAGAGUUAUUAUAUGACCCAGCAAGUCUACUCUUAGGUAUUACCAAAGAGAAAUGAAAACACAAAAGUUUGUACAUGAAUGUUUAUAGCAGCAUUAUUCAUAAUAGCCAAAAGAUGGAAACAACCCAAAUGUUCAUCAACUGACAAAUAGAUAAAUUAUGGUGUAUCUAUGCAGUGGAAUAUUAUUCAGCCAUAAAAGGGAAUGAUGUACUGAUAUGUGCUGUAACAUGGAUGAACACUGAAAACAUGCUACAUGAAAGAAGUCAGUCACAAAAGACCACAUAUUACAUGAUUUCAUUCAUCUGAAAUGUCCAGAAGAGGAAAAUCUAUACAAGCAAAGUAGAUUAGUGGUUGCCCAGGACAGAAGGCUUAGGAGGUGAUGACUGAUAGGUAAGGGGUAUGUUUUGUUGUUGUUGUUGUUGUUUUUAGGUGAUGAAAAUGUUCUGAAAUUGCCUGUGGUGAUGGUUGCACAUGUCUGUGAAUAUGCUAACAACUAUUGAAUUCUACACUUUAAAUGUGCGAAUUAUAUAAUACGUGAACUACAUCUCAAGAAUGUUUUAAAACUGGUGUUGGGAAAACAGGACAUCCACAUGUAAAACAAUGUAUGUCAGAUCCUUACCAUACACCAUGUACAACAAUUAACUCAAAAUGGAUUAAAGACCUAAAUAUAAGAGCCAAAA
Homo sapiens (human) is the source of this 3827-nucleotide long non-coding RNA. Lineage: Eukaryota; Metazoa; Chordata; Mammalia; Primates; Hominidae. The record is from Ensembl.